UACUUGGCGUGCGCGUGGAGGAAGGUUCAAUAUUUUUAUAACGAAUCGAAUACGAGAUGUCAGUUGGCUGCUCACACACUGUUGGCUGAUUGUUGGGUGUUAUUUGUAUGCUGAGUUCUGAGUGAUUGAUUCUGUCGAUUGCUGUGCCGUCGCUACUUUUGCUGCUUUAAUCGGCAAUACUCGUCCGUUUUCGCUUCUGUGAUUUAUGCUGCGCCAAUAAUGAAAAUGUUGCUCACUGCUUUAGUGAAUUUUUGGCAGUUUUUCAGGUGCUACAAUGGGAAAUUUUUUUUGAAAAAUAAAAAAAUGGCGGACUUUUGAAAAAAAGAUGUCUUGAAGAGCCAAAAUCCUGUUGACAAGCCACCUAUAUUUUUUUUAAGACCCUUACUUUGGUGCCACACUACUACAAAGAAAUAUGUCAAAAAAAAAAGAAUUGUUUUUGUAUACUAU
Anastrepha ludens (Mexican fruit fly) is the source of this 447-nucleotide long non-coding RNA. RefSeq lists it as uncharacterized. The record is from RefSeq and is a predicted model, not a curated record. Lineage: Eukaryota; Metazoa; Arthropoda; Insecta; Diptera; Tephritidae. The transcript is spliced from 3 exons.